RNAcentral lists this transfer RNA (63 nucleotides) under Dipodomys ordii (Ord's kangaroo rat). It matches the Rfam family "tRNA". Rfam says of the family: Transfer RNA (tRNA) molecules are approximately 80 nucleotides in length. Their secondary structure includes four short double-helical elements and three loops (D, anti-codon, and T loops). Lineage: Eukaryota; Metazoa; Chordata; Mammalia; Rodentia; Heteromyidae. The record is from Rfam by way of RNAcentral.
GGGAAUGUGGCUUAGUGGUAGAGUACUUGCCUAGCAUGCAUGAAGCUCUGAGUUCCAUUCCUG